Molecule: RNA transcript, 5162 nt
Organism: Oreochromis niloticus (Nile tilapia)
Lineage: Eukaryota; Metazoa; Chordata; Actinopteri; Cichliformes; Cichlidae
Gene: ddx6
Gene name: DEAD (Asp-Glu-Ala-Asp) box helicase 6
Exons: 15
Source: RefSeq, a predicted model, not a curated record
AAAUGAAAUCAGCUGAUUCGUUGGAUGGGGGCGGGUUCAAAUACGGGUGGAAGCCAUCUUGGACGUUUGCUUGACUCUGACGAGACUCGUUGGUAGUUAGCUAAAGAUUGCUCACAAAUACCGCAUACGGCACCGGCUAUUUCAAUAGCUCAAGGUUUGGACAGCCCCGAGGAAGGACACAGCGGCCCAGUUUAGCUAAUCAAGAUGGCUAGCUGAACAGUCGGCCAAUGCUUGAACGCUAGCGAAGCCCUCUUGGAGUAUUAUUUUCCAGAUAACGUUGACAAAAUAAAUCUAUGCUAAGCCCUAAUUUAAUUUCCAUGCAUAGAAGUCUUAUAAAAAACGAGAAGAGGAAUUUGUUUCUGGACACUUGAUGUCACAAAAGACAUUGUUGAAGAGUAAAGGAUUUAGUAUUUACCUUUAGUUGAUUAAGAUUUAAAAAGGCGAGGGCAGUUUUUACGUUUUGAGUGGACUCACUUCAUCUGGAAACUGUUAAAGGUUUCAUUGCUAUUGGAAUAAAGUUGAGCCAAGUCAACAUGAGCACCGCCAGGACGGAGAACCCAGUGAUUCUGGGCUUGCCCAACCAGAAUGGACAGCUUAGAGGCUCAGUGAAGCCUGCUGGAGCACCAGGUGGAGGUGGAGGAGGGCCGCAGCAGCUUAACCAGAUGAAAGGCACAAUCAACAAUGGAAACUCCCAGCCAGCCCCUACAACAAAUGCUGUCAUCAAGCCUGGAGAUGACUGGAAGAAAAAUUUGAAAUUGCCCCCAAAGGACAUGAGGAUGAAAACUUCGGAUGUGACUGCAACUAAAGGCAAUGAGUUUGAAGAUUAUUGCCUAAAGAGGGAGCUGCUUAUGGGAAUCUUUGAGAUGGGCUGGGAAAAGCCAUCUCCAAUCCAGGAGGAGAGCAUCCCCAUUGCACUGUCAGGAAGAGAUAUUUUGGCCAGAGCCAAGAAUGGCACGGGAAAGAGUGGAGCCUACCUCAUUCCCUUACUUGAACGCAUUGACCUGAAGAAGGACUGCAUACAAGCUUUGGUCAUAGUGCCCACCAGAGAACUGGCUCUGCAAGUAAGCCAAAUAUGUAUCCAGGUCAGCAAACACAUGGGUGGUGUGAAGGUCAUGGCAACCACAGGUGGAACCAAUCUCCGUGAUGACAUCAUGAGGCUUGAUGAAACUGUACAUGUGGUCAUUGCCACACCUGGAAGGAUUUUAGACCUCAUCAAGAAAGGAGUGGCCAAAGUUGGUCAAGUGCAGAUGAUUGUUCUAGAUGAAGCUGACAAGCUCCUGUCUCAGGACUUUGUGGUCAUGAUGGAGGAGAUCCUGGGCUUUUUGCCCAAGCAGAGGCAGAUUUUGCUUUAUUCUGCAACCUUCCCUCUCAGCGUGCAGAAGUUCAUGAAUUCGCACUUGCAGAAACCCUAUGAAAUCAACCUAAUGGAGGAGCUUACACUGAAGGGUGUGACUCAGUAUUAUGCUUAUGUAACUGAAAGGCAAAAAGUCCAUUGCCUCAACACCUUGUUUUCCAGGCUCCAGAUCAACCAGUCCAUAAUCUUCUGCAACUCGUCUCAGAGAGUGGAACUCCUUGCCAAGAAGAUCUCCCAGCUUGGUUAUUCAUGUUUCUACAUUCAUGCAAAGAUGAGACAGGAACAUCGUAACCGUGUAUUCCACGACUUCAGAAAUGGCCUGUGCCGGAAUCUAGUCUGCACUGACCUCUUCACAAGAGGAAUUGACAUUCAAGCUGUGAAUGUUGUGAUCAAUUUUGAUUUUCCUAAGCUGGGAGAAACGUACCUUCAUCGCAUCGGUAGAUCUGGCCGCUUUGGACACCUGGGUCUAGCUAUCAACCUCAUCACAUACGACGAUCGCUUCAACCUGAAAGGGAUUGAGGAACAGCUUGGAACAGAAAUAAAGCCCAUCCCUGGCAUCAUUGACAAGAGCCUAUACGUGGCAGAGUACCACAGUGAGAGUGGCGAAGAAGUCAAGCCAUGAGCCAAAGUUGGAUAUCUGCUAAUGACACCUGAGCUGAUACAUUUACACAGAGACCGGUCCAUCCUCCACUCCCCUCUGUAUUCUCCUUCAUCCCCCACAUCUUUGGAUUUUUUUUCUUUUUUUUUUAAAUGUACAGUUGCUGUAUGUCUUCCUUUUUUGGAUGCCACCAUUAGGAAUGCGUGCUUUGAUUGAAUGUGUUUUUGGAAGAACUCAUCUGCCUUUUUAAGGCUCUUUGCUGCACCACCACACCCUGAAGACAUGGGCACCACGAGGAAAGAAUGGGACCAAGUCAGAAACGUUAUCAGUGCACAUUGUGAUGAUUCAUAUCCACCACUGACACAAAGCCAGCACCAACAGAGCGAUAGGACACCCUCCAUUCUCCACUUUUAAGUUCGGAAGUUUUAUCCAAUUUAUAUCAAGUGCCUUAAACAGUUCAGCUCGUUCUAAAGUAAUAACCCCUCAUUAUCGGUCAUCUCUCUCCACUCCAUGCCACAUGUUUCUGUUCACCUAAUUGAAAAUUUGUUACACUAAUUUAAUGUCUGAUAAAAUAGGUGAAUUCAUGCCUGUCUUUGGUUGGGUCAUCCAUUCGCAGCGACUGGAGAUGAUUGGAGGCAGACUGGUCUGAAUUAUCUUUUUGCUGGCUAAGCUGAACUUGAGUCUGGCUGAUAAAUGAGGACAAACUUGGAUUUCCAUGGACAGAGAUGCUGGAUUUUUUGUUUUUUGUUUUUCCCUUUCUCCAAGAUGCAGCCAGACUGUCAGUCAUUGGUGAAAAAACUUGUGCUUCUGAGAGACCCAAACUCUUUCCUCUGUCUUCAGCAUCAGAACACUAAAAAUGAAUAAGCAGCCUUGCAACACCAUGAGACAUGAGGAUUCCUGUUUUGGUGGAGUUUAUUUGGAGCGAAUGCCUGACAUGUAUUUUUUUUUUAUUUUUUCUCUCCCUCCUUUCUUCUUCUUUGGUCGGUCUUUUGUCGUCCUGUGUUUCACCUUCCUAUGGAUGGCCAUACUUAAUUCUGUGAGACGUGCAGCCGGCGUUUGGGGUGCACCUUACACUUUGUGUAUAUACCUUCAUUUUAAGAUUGUUUUAAACAAGUUGAAAAGGCUGCCUGACAAACUGAAAAGCCAUCCGCCCCUUCCCUCUUGUUAGCACUGGAGAUGGUUUCCCGAACUGCCAGUUUGUUUGAUCUGCAAUAUUGGCCUGUGAAUUUAUUUAUAAUUUUAGAAAUUGCAGAAUUUAUCAGAAUCGAAAACAUUUAAAUGGCGUAGUUCAUAAAAUGUUUUUAGAGACAGUUAUUGCUGAAAAUCUUUUUAGCCCAUCCAUAUUUGUUGGAAUGUUUCUUCAAAGAUGCACUUAACUGUUUAAAUUGUUGCCCUUGUUCUUUUGCUUCCAGUGUUAACAAGUGCGAGUCUUGACAGAUGGCUUUCCGAAGCUUGUGCAUUUGAGUAAUGAAUUCUUUGUCGCCAGCCUUGACUUGCGAAACUCUUGAAACACUCUUAAGAUCUCUUAUACUGAGUGCUGGUGUUGGAAAAGAAAAUAUUCUAUUACUUACUACUCGCUGCAGUGCAGCUGAAUUGGCAGAUAAUUUGUUUUGUGGCGAUGGUAUUAGCUGUUACGUUGAUUUAUGCCCCAUUUAAGCACAGCUACAUUACUUCCUAAUAUUGAGGGACGGGCAGGAAGUCCCCCCCCCCCCCCUUCUGCAGAACGUUGGCCGACUGCAUCAAAACGAACCAUCUGAAAUCUAAAAUGUAGCAGGAACAAAUUCUGUGCUUUGCAAGUUGGCUGGCUUUUGUAAAACCAGCUAACAAAAGAUACUUUAAAAACUAACAUGCGCAAGUUGAUCAGCACUUAAAACACAGAUGGUUCAUGCAGCUACACUUACUGCACUACUUUUUACACACUAGAUGUCCACUUGGGAGUAAAGUGCAUGCUAGUGCAGGGAGGGGGAAUGAACAAGAUGGGUUAGAAAAUUACUUUUUGUCAGACUGCUUGUUUAAGACAUAACUUGGGCAUCCCAGCCUGCUGAGUUUAUGGCUAAUUUCUCUGCCCUAUAUUGCUUUAUGUUUUGGGUUUUGGGGCUUUACCUCUGCAUUUUAUAUGCAACGUUGACAACCUUAAAUUUGCAUUGAGGUCCUCUGAUCACUUUGUUCAGCUGAAACCUUUCUGUAACUGAGGUGUUCCCUUUAAUAUGGCGAGAUGCUCUCUUAACUGUUUUAACCAAUGGGAAGUAUUGCUCAUUUAAUUUCAGCUCAUUUCAAAAGAUAAGUGUAGCAGAGAUGAUUAGUUACCCGUGUAUUUCUCAUUGGUUAGACUCUGAUCCCUGUUCUCACACUUCUGCUGUUGUCCCAGAAAUACUUGCACAUCUAAACUGAUAAUUAGGCUGUUUGUUUUUUGGGGGGUGGGGGGAAUUUUUCUUAAAGUCAAAAUUAAAUUUGAGCAUUAGUGGAGUCGACAGGGAUCUGUUUGUGCAGGCACUUGGCAGCUGUCUGUUUCUUAUCAGCCCACUGGCAGUAAUUGACGCAGCAAAAUGCUUUGAGGCUAAAAUUGACGACCCUUCGAGGUUCAGCGUAUGGCUGCCUUCAUGUGGGAGCUAGCUUUACUGCCAGUGGCUGUCAUGGAGAACCUUAACGACUGAGACAAGAGCAUCUUUCCCCAGAUUGGGCAUCUAAUUGGUUACUAAAAUUGUCUCUUUCGUUAAGGUCUUUUUUUUUUUUUUUCUUUUUUUAAAUUUGGGAGGAGGUUGAAUUGGUGCGCCUGCUGCCCUGAUGCAUAAGUUCGUCCUCUUGAUUGUUGUGACACAUUAAUAACACAGCUUUUGUGUACAAUUUGGCCAUCCCAUCUCUCGACUGUCAAGAGAAAACGAUAGGAGUCCUUUUUAGGAUUUCUUUCUGAAUUGAUGCAUCAGUAAAAUAUGUGGGGUGGGGCCUGUGGGUACUUCAGAAACAGGAUAUCUAAAGAUCCAAAGUUUAGGUAAUGGGUACGAAAAGGUUUGAAAGAGUUACCCCGCUUUUUUCUUUUCAAAAUGAAAUGUUCAAUGGAGUACACUUUUCAUUAAAAAGGCUCCAAAUUUCAGUGAAAUUCUUUAUUUUGAAUUUGGUUGCUUAAUUGGCAGAUUUUUCAGUGAUGCAAGAUGUCAUGAAUAUUACUGGAUUGGAUUAAAAGUUGUGUUCAAUAAAGCUCACUGAAAUUUA